This 630-nucleotide ribosomal RNA is filed under the name uncultured bacterium. RNAcentral's name for it is "bacterial SSU rRNA". The stretch from base 116 to 630 matches the Rfam family "Bacterial small subunit ribosomal RNA", at positions 1 to 526 of the family's 1533-position model. The record is from RNAcentral.
AUUGUUUGAUCCUGGCUCAGCACACCAGCAGCCGCGGUAAUAGAGUUUGAUCCUGGCUCAGCACACCAGCAGCCGCGGUAAUAGAGUUUGAUCCUGGCUCAGGUGCCAGCAGCCGCGGUAAUAGAGUUUGAUCCUGGCUCAGAAUGAACGUUGGCGGCGUGGAUUAGGCAUGCAAGUCGAGCGGGCGUAGCAAUACGCCAGCGGCGGAAGGGUGAGUAAGGCGACGGCAACCAACCCCGAGAAUGGGUAUAGCCGCGGGAAACUGCGGGUAAUCCCCAGCGAUGCGAGGGCGUCGGCAUCGACGCUUCGCCAAAGGAUUCGUCCGUCUCGGGACGGGCCGUCGUGGUAUUAGGUAGUUGGCGGGGUAACGGCCCACCAAGCCAUCGAUGCCUACCGGGCGUGCGAGCGCGGCCCGGCACACUGGGACUGAGACACUGCCCAGACUCCUACGGGAGGCUGCAGUCGAGAAUCUUCGGCAAUGGGCGCAAGCCUGACCGAGCGACGCCGCGUGGAGGACGAAGGCCUUCGGGUUGUAAACUCCUGUCGAGGGGGAGAAAGGCUCCGCGAGGGGCUUGAUCGAUCCCUGGAGGAAGCACGGGCUAAGUUCGUGCCAGCAGCCGCGGUAAUAAU